UUUUUUUUAUUUUACAAUCAUUUAAAAUUAAAUUCUACGAUAAAAUUCGGUAAACAUAUGAACUACGAUUGUAAUUAAUAUUUUGUUUAAACUACGGAAAACCGUAAUAUUUCCGAUUAAAAUCGAUCAAAAUGUGUCGAACCGAACGCACGCCACUCGUUUUUGCUGUAAUACUUGUAAUGUUCGACCGUUGUGUAUGUAUUAAGUUUAUUGAUAUAUAAACUAAAUUGCUCUGUAUGUAUAUGUUUGCACCUUCUUGACAUCUCGCUUAUAACAGCGGCCUAUCCAGCAGCAGUAUCCUGUAACAGCGUACCAGGGGCUAUGGCACGAUUGAGCUUAACGUACCUUUUUCAACAGCAUA
This is a non-coding RNA of Cinara cedri, 361 nucleotides long. The record is from the annotation of a GenBank genome assembly. NCBI's taxonomy places the organism in Eukaryota, Metazoa, Arthropoda, Insecta, Hemiptera, Aphididae.